Molecule: long non-coding RNA, 4259 nt
Filed under: Citrus maxima (pomelo)
Lineage: Eukaryota; Viridiplantae; Streptophyta; Magnoliopsida; Sapindales; Rutaceae
Description: long non-coding RNA (CMAX_LNC000887)
Source: RNAcentral
GAAAAGAUUCAUGAGAAAUAAACAUUAUAAUCCGAACAAAUAAAUCAAUUAGUCAAUAUAUCAUUUAGCCGAAUUAAAGACGCUGCUUGCGCUUCGUAGUUCUGAGCUUAGAAUCAAGUAGAGAACUGAAUAUGAAAUUUUUAAUUGCUGAGAAUAUGAAUUUGAGGUUGAUGGACGACUUGAAAGAGAGGGACAAGAAAGAAUGAUACAGAGCAGGUGGCUGGCAAAAGGGACCUUAUGACGAUCUUCUUCAGUACAGCUAUGAUGCCGCUUCCACCUUCAAUUGAAUGUCAGAAAAUUCAAAGUUUGUCAAAAGAGGAUGGUAAAUUAAGCUGUUUUUUUUUUUUCUUUUUUGCAAAAUUUACCAAGUGAAUUAAUCCAUUAUUUUAUCUAUCAAUCAGUACACAAUCUACAUUACCCCACGCUAACAAAACACUGACUAUAAAUCUAUGACUAUACAAUGCGCACUUUGGUUACUGCCCCAGCCCUCUUACCCAAAAGAACCACAAAAGCAACGAAAAACUAAAUUGAUUACAUAAUCAAAUCAAGUUCUUCUUAGCUACUGUGAUCGAUUUGUCCAGCACCAUCAGUUAAUUUCUCUAGUUUUCAGCAAAAAUGGUCGAGUUCUUGAGUCUUCUUUGCACGUUUCAUCUCAUUUAUUCUGUCGAUAAAGCUUAUACACAUCAUCCGCAACGACAACAAAUUAAAUUAAUAUGUGUCGAGUUUUGGAGCCAGAGCCAGCGGUGCAAGCGCAAGAGAAAGGGACUUCACACAAGAAUUUGCCAGACCAUGGGCUACAGAAAGGUGCCUCACUUCACGGACGCGGAAUUUGGUUGGCUCCUGGGCCAUUAAGGGUGAAUGCAUCUUUCUUUUUAUGUGAAUUUAAUUAUUGAACCCGGUAUCUUGAAUAAAUAUAAAUUUGACUGUAGCACCAAGUAUCAAUGAUUGCAAAAUGUAAAUUUGACAUAUUGUGUGGUUAAAUCAUCUUGUACUAAUCGUUUAUGUUAAUUUAUGGAGGCCUUAAUGUCCAAGGCAUACGUAAAGGGGUACAGGACUGACUCUGCUUCUGGCUUCUAAGGAGAAUGAGGGGAAAAUUUUAUAAACAUUUGUGGAGUGGCCGUAUAAAGGACGUGUGGUUCUCAAUCCAUUUCACAUUUGGCAUUGUAAUGUUUAUGGACUCAUAUAAAUGAUGUCACACAAAUAGUUAAACGAAGAAGGUGUUUGAUGAAAACGAAAGGGCCUUUUUCUUUUUUUAAAUCCCGCUAAAGGUUAUAAUUAACAACAAAUUAAUAAUAGAAGAGAGAGAAAUACCAAGUUCAAUACGGUAAUAUUUUAUCUUCCUUUUAACUGCUCUCCUUUGGCUUAUAAUGCGACCUUUACACUCGUGGACAAAAUUGUAUUUGUCGCUUAAGUCUUGCUUGUUUUAAAAUGCUGGCAUAUUUAUGGAGUGGGAACCCAGAUGCUGAACUCAUAGUAAAUAUUUAUUUAAUUUGUUAGAAUUAUUUUUGGUGGGAUAAUUUUAAAUAUUAAUUUAACAAGAUAGUGAUGUUUGCCUUGCCCUACAUGGAAAAAAUAAUAAUAAUUAAAGUUUUUUCUGUUCCUUUAUAUUAGUAAUAGAUUUCAGAUGGGAAACAGAAAAUUUAUUUCUGUUUCAAUAAUUACCAUAUCACUGUGUGCGUGCGUGAUCACAUAAUUUUGUACUACCGUCUGUGGAAUAACUUUAGGAAAAGAAAAUUAAUUUUUUUUAAGUAACAAUAAAUAUUUUAAAUUGUUUUCUUCUCUUAUCAAUUGUUUUUUUCUCCUAUCUUCCAAUGAAAGUGCAGGACCUCAAUUAUUUUAAUAGAGAUGUAGUAAUAAAUUAUUAGGGGAUCCAUAAAAUAAAUAUACAUGGUUUCAAAAAAGUUAGCACAUGCUUGUUACAAAUAUAAAAAAUUAUCUUAAAAGUCUCGGAACUUUUGUGUUCUCUUUAAUAUUUUUUUCUUAUGUUGUUAUUGUACUAUAUGGAUACAAGGGUGCGUUUGGUACGUUGUAUUAUAUUAUGUUGUAUUGCAUUAUUUUAAUAUAGGUAUAUUACAUUAUGUUGUGUUGUAUUAGUAAUGUAUUAUAAUAAUGUUGUACAAUGUUUGGUACUAUACUGUAUUGUAUUAAUUUUUAAUUAAUAUUAUUCAAAUGUAUUCAUAUUUAAAUAUUUAUUAUUAGUUAUAUUAAAUUAUUUAAAAAUAACUAGUUUAAUUAUUUUAAUAUAAUUAAAUAAUAUUAUAAUAUAUUAUAUUAUUUAAGUAUUUAUUAUUAGUUAUAUUAACUUAUUAAAAAUUAAUCAAUUAUAUAUAUUAAUUAAUAUAAUUUUACAUAUUAAUUAAUAUAAUAUAAUUAAAUAAUACAUUUUUUAGUUGUACAUUUACUAUAAUAAAAAUUAAAAUAUAAUAUAAUAUUAAAUUAAAAAUUAUAUUCAUUUAUUAUUAUUACAAAGUAUAAAAAAAAAAAAAAAAGGAAGCUAAAGCUAAUGCGGUAACUGGACACAUUAGCUAAACCCGACUAUAACAUAUGUCGGGUUUAGCUAAUACAACCAUUUGGUACCUCAGACAUGGUGCUGCAUUGCUAAUGCAAUGUAAUCCCAGGUAAAGAGGGGUACCAGACAACCCCCAAGUUCACUUAAUGUAACAUAACAUACUUUUUUUUUCUAUAUAUAUAUAUACACUACGUGGAAGUGAGCUCCUUAAGGUGAGAUUUAGCAAAAUUAUAAAUUAUUACAGCAUGAAAUUUAUUUUUAUUUAUAAUUGGCCUAAUAUAAAUUAGGACCAGUACUUUUAUAGCUAUAUGAAAUUAUUUUUAUAUAAAAUAUCACUACAUAAAUGUUUUAUUACAAUAUUAAUCUCUUUUUUUUAUUGUAUUUAUCUCUUCAUAAUCUUUUCCUUUUUAUAAAAAAAAAAAAUCAACUAAAAGAUUCAUCAACAUCUCAUUCCAACAAUCUACUAGCGAAAAUGAGUGUCCAUGCUUUUGAACCAAGGCCCGAUAUGUGAGGGAGAGAUUGUUGGGUUGUCUUACAUCGGUUGUGAACUAGGAUGGUGGUGAUUUUACAAGUGUGAGGGAAAGUCUCACCCCUUAUCCAUCUUUUGGGUUGGGAUUGAAUGAGACCCAAAACCGCUUAACAUGAAUUCUAUCACUGGGAUUUUUACCCAGUAUAACAAACAUAACAACACAAUGAAUUAUCAAUUUAUCACGUAAUGGCUCUAACUUUAGCGAUGAUCACCUUACAUGAACAUGAAAAUUAAUCCCAUUGUUUAACUCAACAAUGACGAUAAUCACUUAAACUCUUAUGCACCAAAGGAUAUACUCGCUACAGGGAAUCUUAACUCAUAAAGAUUAAUUUUAGUGGGGGGCAAAAGAGCACGAGUGAUCCAAACCACUAAACAACAUCAUAACCAACACAAAAUUUAUACUAAACAAACCAUUACCAAAACAGCAAAGCUAGACAUAAAUUUGAACAGAUACACAAGCUACAUUCAUUACCAUAAUGUAUCGACUAAAUUUCCAAGCUCUACAUUUUGAACAAAGAAUUUAUAAAAUUACAUAAUCUAAUAAAUUAAUAUAGAAAUAAAAUUGGCAUCAGAUCAAAUUACUAUUAAUGUACCUUGCAUAAACCAUUCUCUUCUAUCGGCAUUCACCUCCGCGCUCGAUUGGCUCUCCUGUGCUGCUUGUCUAAUUGAUUCAAAUCCACAUAGACAAAUUUAAGCAUAUUAAGUUUUCAAACUCAAAUCAACAGCUUUAAAAGUUACUUCACAAACAAUGAAUUUCAUUUUCGAAAUACAAAGAAUCCGUUCAGUUUAAAACAAUAAAAAAUCGUCUACGACUACUCAACUCAUGUAUGAUAACUAAAAAACGAAGGAUACCCACAAAAAUUAAAGAUAAAUUACCAAAAACCCAAAAAACUCAAGCCAAAAUUGCCAAAAAAAAAGCGAGAGAAUGGAAAUUGGCGUACCAGGGGCAGGAGAGAGGAAACGAGAAGAGGAAGAAAGAAGGGUUUUGGAGAGAGUGGGAAUUAGUGGAGGCAAAAAUGGAGAGUUUUGAGAGUGAGAUGAUUGGUGGGGUGGUGAUGGCGGUGGUGGGGUUAAUGUUCUGGAGGGUAUGCUGAAGAGAGGUCGCAAGAGAACCUCCAUAGCCUUUAAAGAGAGUUGAGUUGCUGCUUUCUUUUGCCGUGGAUGGAGAGAGAUUAAGGGAUUAGAAUUCUGUAUUGAAUUAAUUUUUUAUUAAAUAAAAAA